RNAcentral lists this ribosomal RNA (389 nucleotides) under Ameivula sp. gr. ocellifera EFO-2015. RNAcentral's name for it is "partial 12S ribosomal RNA". It matches the Rfam family "Bacterial small subunit ribosomal RNA", at positions 801 to 1383 of the family's 1533-position model. Lineage: Eukaryota; Metazoa; Chordata; Lepidosauria; Squamata; Teiidae. The record is from RNAcentral.
AAUUAACCAAGACAAGCCCACUAACAACUUGUCCGCCAGAGAAUUACGGGCGAAAGCCUAAAACUCAAAAGACUUGACGGUGUCCCAAUUCUACCUAGAGGAGCCUGUUUCAUAAUCGAUAACCCCCGCUCAACCUGACCGUCCCUCGCACAACCCCCCAGCCUAUAUACCGCCGUCUUUUUCCUGCUUACCUUUUGAAAGAAAUUAUAGUAAGCCCAAUAGUUUUAUAACUAAAAAGUCAGGUCAAGGUGUAGCUUAUGGGGCGGAGAAAAUGGGCUACAUUUUCUAUUAAAGAACACCACGGAAAAUACUCUGAAAUAAAGUACUCAAAGGUGGAUUUAGCAGUAAGCCAAACCAGAGUGUUUGACUAAAACAAGCUCUGGGACAUG